AUAAGAAUGUAGCAUCUGAAAUAUUUUCUUUGUUUUUGAUAUUUCUUUGUACAGUACCUUGGAAGUGUGUGGUCUGUGUUCCUGCUAAUAGCUGAGAGGGAAAAAUCCACUUUUUGCUUGGCUUGUGUCAGCAUCAUUACACACCAUCCUUGUCAUCUUCCAUGGAAAGAAGGAAGGGGAAAUUAGAUUCCUUGAGAGAAUGUAGGCAGAGAGGCAGGCAGAGAAUCAGGCUCCCUGCUGAGCAGAGGGCCCGAUGCGGGGCUCAAUCCCAGGACCCUGGGAUCAUGAUCCGAGCUGAAGGCAGCCGCUUAACCGACUGAGCCACCC
Molecule: long non-coding RNA, 327 nt
Filed under: Mustela putorius furo (domestic ferret)
Lineage: Eukaryota; Metazoa; Chordata; Mammalia; Carnivora; Mustelidae
Description: lncRNA (ENSMPUG00000024648.1)
Source: RNAcentral